RNAcentral lists this ribosomal RNA (194 nucleotides) under uncultured bacterium. RNAcentral describes it as "partial 16S ribosomal RNA". It matches the Rfam family "Bacterial small subunit ribosomal RNA", at positions 335 to 526 of the family's 1533-position model. The record is from RNAcentral.
ACUCCUACGGGAGGCAGCAGUAAGGAAUAUUGGUCAAUGGGCGCAAGUCUGAACCAGCCAUGCCGCGUGAAGGAUUAAGGUCCUCUGGAUUGUAAACUUCUUUUAUAUGGGACGAAAAAAGGUCUUUCUAGACCCCUUGACGGUACCAUAUGAAUAAGCACCGGCUAACUCCGUGCCAGCAGCCGCGGUAAUAC